UUUAGCCACUAAUAGAGCUGACUACUUAAGCAUUAAAAGUUGUAAACACUUAAGGCCAUCUUGAGGCUUAAUCUAUAAGUAAUAAAUGGGUUAAAGAUUACGUUUUUACACUUUGCCUUUCAGAUUGAUCUAGUUGCUUAUUCUCCUUUUUAUCCGGUCUGUUAGGGUUAUAUUCAAAAGACAGAUAUGAGAGUCUUAUUGAUCUUCUCAUGUAAAUGUGUGUACACAUCACAGCGUGCACAACUGUUCCUUGAAAGAAGCAGACUUGUAAAAUGAACUAAGCUGAAGACAUAAUGUAAAACAUCAACAUCGCUAAUCUUUCCGAAACAUAGUUGUAAAAAGUUGACCUAAUAUUUUCUUUUACACUAUCUUGUAUAUUUUCGUUACUGAAUUUCAUAUAUGCACGGGUAAGUCAUUUCUGCAAUCUUUAUUAUUGCAGUUAAAAGUGAUUUAUAAAACCCAUAACAUUUUUAAAGCUUGCUGAUGUCUGCAAAGCAAUGAGGAUGCCAGAUGUGUAACGUGGGGGGCAUAUUUUUAGUUGUAUUGCAUGGUGGCACAAAAUAAUUGUGGUAUUUCAUUAAAUACAAAGCUUAUUCUCUAGUAAAUCAGCCGUUUUUGCGCAUUGUGUGGUAAAUACUUGACCUAACCCCGAAACAAGAUUUCUACUGUUUGCUCCGUUGCUUCGAGAGGGCGGUGUUUUUUUUCUUCUUCUUUUUUUUAAGCCACGGGGACUAAUGGCAGUCUGAGUCAACCGAAGCCACAAAACAACCACGUAAGACCAGCCAUUAGCUCCACAUUUAACCAUGAAAUGAAAGCUCAACAGGCGGCAACAGUUCAUUGCAGGUCAAGAUGCUGAUGCUCUGCCUCUCCGCUCCUUCUCUCUCUCUCUCUCGAUGCUCCUCAUUGAGCGGUUUCACAUCAAUGUUUAACCCAGCCAAGUAAAUCUUGCAGCAAUGGACGUCAUAACGAGGCAGCAUCCAAAACAAUUUGAUGUAUUAUUAUUUUAUCAAUAAGCCCAAGCACACCUAUGAAAUACAGAAUAUGCUCAUAUAUCAGAACACAAACAAAAAGGCGUGCAGGAAUGUAGUGUGCAAACACGUCACUACAACCCACACUUCUCCUCCUCGCUCACUCUGAUUGACAAUAUUCCAGUCCAACACCCUGUGGAUAUCAUUUGCAGGCUCGAGCGCCAACAUUGUUAAGUUCCAAUGUUGGCAUGAAACCACAAAUGAGAUGGGAGUCAAGAGCGGAAAAAACAACCCUGUGCACUCCAUCUGCCAAACAAGGCCUUGGCAACACACGUCAGCUCUAAGAUGGCAGCACCGUGAGCAGCAGGGUUCCCCGUUUCAUGGCUAUCAGAGCCUCUCUCCACGUUGUGUUGUGUGACCAGACACCCACUGCUUUGAUUUCAGGCCACAGUUUCCACUUAGAAUUGAAGUGACGGGAAGAAAUAUUCCCGUCAUUGCACAACACAGAUCAGUAUUUUUGAUCUGGUUUUCAUCAGGUUUUCCUCCAAAAAUAAGAAGCAGCUCUGUUGAGAAUCACAACAUCACACUUAUGCAUGUAGAUAGGGAGGAACACUCCUUCUUGGUAUUGUUUAAUUACCAGCACUGCCUUUAACACCACUGGUAAUCAUAUACAUUGAUUUACCAGGUAAGUUGUUAUCACUCAGUGGUUUGUGUCGUAUUUGUGAAGUAUGUUUCUUGGUCUCCAUGGGUAACUGCUGUAUGUUUCCUCCUAUGUCAUGCUAUUAUAUAUGGAGCGUCACGGGUGUCAAAUCUCCACAUUAGUCUAUUCUCAUUGAAAUGUGUUUCCCUGAGCCCAGAUAAUCAGAGGUGUUGUUAAGCAAAACAACGUUAGCUAUACGUUUCAGUAAAACCAGAUACCUAAACAUCAGCUGCAGCUAUUUAGCUGCUAUAACAUACAGAAUGUGAUUUAACUUAACUUCAGCAAAACUUAGCAACUCAUUAUUGACCCUGAAAAUAAUGUACAUGCCCCCCCGCCCCCUCUCCCCAAUGUCAAACCGAACUCUGGGAAAAUUGGCGUUAUAAUGAGUUCAAAAAAUAAUUCAAGCACCGUGUCAAAAAGUCAAACCACAGACACAGGGCAGUCCGGCUGUGUGUUUCCUCGUGUGAGUGUGUGUUUUUGUCUAAACUCCAUACGCACAUACAAAUCUCAGUUUUAAUGGAAUCGGAGUUUGAAAUGCUAAACUCAGGCCUCGCAGCAAUGCCUUGGGGCUCCGCCAAGAAGCCAUCCUUGUCCCUUUGACAUGUUAUUGUGUUGACUGCACCACCACAAAACUGCAUGGUCAUCUCUUUCGCUUUGCGUCCCAUGAGAGUUAUGAGACAGACUUAAAAAUAUAAUAUAUAUCUCUAAUGCACUAGUGAGGCAACACACAGCCACAACUCUUCCCCCUAUAAAAAAAAAGCUGUAACGGUACAGUUUGCCUCUAAUAUUCAGGUAUGUUGUAUGACAUUUUUAUUGUAUUUAUUCGCAUGUAUUAUUAAAAAAGUAAAAUGGUCUCUGGCAAUGAUGUAUUACAUCACAUACAAAAGCCACAAAUAACCUUUUAGCAAGUGCAUUUAAAAAACAAAUCUCAACACGUAUGUUAUAUUUCCAUCUACGUUCUAGUACAGGUGUUCCUACAAUUAUGUACACAGCAUUGUUAAAAUUUCAAGUUGUUGAACUUUUUCUAAACUCUUAUUCAGGGUAAAAACUCUUCACUGAUCAAUUGAGUCUAACAAGGAAGAAAAUAAUGCAGGCACAACAGAGUUACCAAAGGUCCAUGAAGACAGUGGACAAAUGAACAUCGGAACGCCCACGCUGACAAUGAGGAAGAGCUUCUGCAGAUGCACAGUCUGGGUUUAAGGUCAGCAGCAACAAAUGGUGAUAACAAAACGUUUUUUGUUCAGAGUAUAAACACCGGAAGCCCACCACAGCACCACACGAACUACACUGACUAUUUUGCACAUUCGUGUGGUUUUUAGUUUUGGAUUGGGGUUAAAAAAAUAAAGAGUCACAGUCAUCUGUUGUGUUUUAGUAAGGCUGCUUUUUUAGUUUUUUGAUUGCAAAAUGUAUUUUUGAUCGUCACGAGGUGAAGCAGAUUUCUUUCCCAAAUAAACACUUUAACACUCUAACACUCUAAACACUCUAACGUAACAAACCGUGUAGAAAUCAUACCUGCUAUAAUGAAACAAUCGGCUGUUGCUUUUUGGCAUUUAUCCAAGUUCAUUAUAUAACACGGACCAAUGAUACGGACUGACUGUGGUCAUACUUGUUCCAACUAGACAAAAAAUCAAUAAUGCAAAGAUGUUUGUAUGAAUCGGUGUGGUUCUGUGUCAGCAUUGUGUGCAUUUUAACAUUUUUUUUUCAAACGUAAGACACCUGUGUCACCCUUUCAAAAGCAUCAGAAAGCGCAAAAGAAUUGAAACAUAUUUUCUAUGGAUAUAUAACAUACACUUUUCUUUAUUGAGCCUUGCACUCCCCCAUGUUAAACUACCACACGCUCAGGUCUACCAAAGUCAUUUCAGAUGGAAGAAGUAAGAUUUUAAAUUAAAGCAAUUACAUGAGCACAUUUAAAGUUCAGUGGCACAGAUUUAUUACAAAAGAUGACAUUCCGAAUCUUUCCUCAGGUAAGAUAAACUACAAUAAGAAUGACCCUGGGCUCCAGAUAUCUUGAAUAUUUAAUCCGGGAUCUUUAAUUGGUCCAUCUUUUUGUUGAGUAUAUUUAUUCUUAACUUCACACAGUUGCAGAAUUCUGUAAAGCUAUGCCUGCCCUACAGAGACCUCCCUGGUUUGAAUAAGUUUCAUUCUUGGACAAAAUGCAUAAUUGGUGACACAUCUUUACUGACGCCUGACAGGAAGUGGGUGGCCCUCGCUAAAGGCUUUCUUGUACAAGUAAAAAAACAAAAAAACAUGUUGAUCUAUUUGGAGGAGAGAACAAAGCCUAAUUAUAAGAAAUAAAGAAGUAGACUAUAAUACUACUGGAUAUUCACCUCGAGCAUUAAACUCAGAGUCAAAACUUUGUUGAAUGUAAUUGCUUUACCUGCAGCCGCACGUUGACUUUGACGCACUUUAAAAAGAAAAGCCUGCUCCUCAAGCAAAGCCUCCUUCCCCUUUCUUUCAUUGUAUUUCUAGACUGCACCUCGAUCUUCUUGUCAACAGUGUGGACCUGGAAGCCGGUCCUCAGGCUCCCGGCGCGAGCAAGGCUUACUCAGUAUGAUGAGUCUAGUUUUUCAUUAUUCUGUGUUACCCAGUAAACAAAAUCAAACAUUUAUGAGAGUUUUAUGCAAGGCAUCGGGGGGACCUGUGUCUCCGUCUAGAUUGAGAAAAUAAUUUACCUCUCCGUACCAAAGCUUCCCUGCUGUGGGCACUGGGGUCUCAGAGAGGCUGUGUUGUUGGCUCGCUGCCAGUGAAGUCAGCGGUCGAAAUGGCUUGAAAUAUACCUUUGAACCCCCCCCUCUCUCUCUCUUAUUUUUGUUCUAUCCCUGCAUCUACUUCCACAUGAGUCUUUAUUUUACAUCAUUACUUUUUCGUCCUUUUUUCACGUGGCGUCUACGGUCGUUAAUCAAAAGGUGAAGGCAUUUACGGCCGUGCUACGGAGGUUCGUCUUCCAACAUCCAAAAUGUUGCUCACAAAGCAGUAAUGUUCCAGGAGAAUGAUUUGCCUAACAGUCAUUAACCACAUUAUUGAACUACUUAACUCCGAAAGUGAUAUCAGCGACCUCAGUGGAAGGGGCAGACGAGACUCUCUUGUCUUUUUUGGCAGUGCUCCUGGGAGUCCAACCAACUCCAAUCCACCCUUCUACGUCAGGCCAAAGUUGAUACGGAGCCAUCAAUUGCAUUAAGCACUGGCUUGAUACACGAAACUAAACCUCCCCUUCAGAACAGGUCUCUGAACCCGAUAAGAGUUGGCAAGGAAAUAGACGGAGUUAUAAUUUAUUGUUUGUCGUCGUCUUUAUCUCAGCCUUCCUUCUCUUUAUAGAUGACUCCGGACAUCUCUACUUUGUGACUCAAUUACAGACAGUGGGAAGUCUGGGAUGAAGUCAUCCUGUAAAAGGAGAUUUAGUUUAUUCUAGACUUAAAGCGCAAACAUGGGAGGUUACAUAUAUAUUGAAUGUUUGUUGUAUUAAUGAUUGUUGUAUUGAAAAUAGGAGCACCUUCUCUGUUAUUCCUACGAACAUAACCUACUUUGUAUUUACGGUAGAUCUUCAGUUCUUUUCUGUCUAAGCAAUCAUUUUUUUUGCGUACUUGAAUUUGCUUAAAACAUUUUCCUCUUUGCCGAAAUUGGCAAAGAAGAUCAGAAAGACUCAAUAUUAGAAGAAAAUAUACACUCCAGGAGGAUGAUCAUAUUCGACAAGUGCAUGAGAUUGCAAGAUUCUGACUAACAACUGUAUUUCGCCAUCUUUCCAAAAAAUAUGUGAAAGCUAGAGCAAAAUGGUAAUUGUCUGCAUGAAUAACCAAAAAAUGUGGUGAAAAAGCUCUGUUUGAUAUUAUCUUUUAAGGUUUGCUGUCAGUCUCUAGUUGCAAUCAUAAAACAGACAAAUAAAUAAGCCUGAUGUAGAACAUAGUGUUCCCAGCGCACCCUCAUAGGGGUAUUUUAUUUUGUAGUUGUUUGAGCUUCUGUACAGAUUGGUCGGUUGAACAGACACAAUGUACUAGAGACUUCUACAAAUAUAGAUCAUGACAGGCUUUUAUAUUUAUAACUUUUUUCUCAUUUGUCUCAAGACAAUCCUGGAAAGGAAAUACAAAAGUAAAUACUGUCACAAGUGUCGCCUUCCAGUGGCUCACUAAAUUAGUAUUUAUGUCUGUAAAACAGAUUCAUGGUUGGAUGAAAAUCGAGGGAAAAUAAAACAAUUUCCAAGUGUUCUGAAAAGUGCCCCUCAACAGCCUCCUCUUGCAUGUAGAGUUUGGGUCAGGCAUUCUUUCACCAGCCCCUUUUUGCAGAUGGUGAUUAGAUCUUUAAUUGUCAAGGGAAGGCGUGACUGAGAAGCAGGAAAGAGGAAAAAGGGAAAAACAGAUUUUUAAUCAUGGCCCACUAAAUUAAGAUUCAAGGUUCCGUCUUGUAUCUCCGGCUGAUCUAUUCCCCUCUCCCUCACAGUGUCUCUCUCUCUCUCUCUGAUUGUAAUACUCAUUCAGAGAGAUACGUCCGUCAUAUCCAGUCCCCAUACAUGGGCGCAUUUGACGGCCCAGGACGAGAAAGAGUGCCGACUAAGUUGGACUCAUUUUAGAAAGAGCAGAACAAAAGUGACAAAUCUGAGGAUUUUGGCAAAAAAAAAAAAAAAAAGAGUUGUUGAAAUACUCUGUAUACCACGUGAGGCCGCUUCACUGACUGUCCAUGAGAUUCAAAUGUGACACAAGGCAGAAACCCCAUAUUGAAUAUUGUGUGGAGAAAAAAUGCAAAGAUUCUCAGUGGCUCAUUCAGCGCCACAGGGUGGAUAUAAUUAUUGGAUAUCACACCGCUCCCGACGUGUCUAAAAAUGCAAUUGGAUCCACAGACAUGAGGAUUGUGCUGAGACAUGAUUGCUCCACAUGUCCAUCUGUCUGAAGAUGUGGGAGGGUGGUUUGCAAGCCAAGUCUGGACAUGCACAUAACGACACGCUAUCAAAGUGUCCAUCAGGCAAAUAUGCGUUUGUGCGUCUUCAUUUUCCUUGGCUGUUCUCCCAAGAGUAACUUUUUAGAGGGCACGGACAAACACCAUAAAAUUUAUGAGGCGUUGCUGAGGUAGAUGUUUUAAAGUGUUGGAUUUUCCAGAUGCAUGAUGCCUCUUGCCUUAAAGUUAAAUUACCUGCGUGGCCACGAGGAAACUGAUGAAAGUCAGGUGUUUAAUUAUUUGAUCAAAAUGAGUAGAUUAGGUUUAGCAUUGAACUUCACAAACUAGCGAGGGUUGAUUAAAGACACUUCUUUUGUGUGGAGGAGAGAGGACCCAAACGCAAGAGCAGGUAAAGUCUGUUUUAAUCAACUUAGAAUGUCCAAAAACAAAAUGGCACUAAAGGCUUAAGAGGAGAGGUGCGGGCGCUUGGCCGGCGACGGGGAAUCCCAGAGAGUGCAGGGAACGAGCUCCAGGGCGAGGGUAGAGCACUCCAGACAGCAGGCCGCCCACGUCAAACCGGAGGCUGGGUGGAACAGAGGUUUGGACUCGGGCCACACCGUAAGGCGCGAACCGUACCGGACACGACAAGGCCGGAGAAACAAGACUACAGGUACGUCGGGUGCAUAAGGCAGGCUAGAAAUAGAGAGUCUAAUUGCAGAAGGUAGGAACAGGUGAGGGGAAGAGAGGAUGACGAGAUGAGAAGCAGCUGGGAAUGAAUGAGCAGGUCUAAGUGUGUGUGUGUGUGUGUGUGUGAAGAAAGAGUUGGAAAGGAGAGCAGGAUAUAAUGUUCAUGACAACUUCAGGUUUUAAUUUACUUCUUUUGUUAAUUAAUCAGCACAGUCUGCUUACUUUCUAUUGGGAUUUUUUCAUUGUUGUCAUUAACACAAACAACAAAUACAAUUAGACACUGUUUAAAAAACACAUUUACUCAAAGAACUAUUUGAACUUCUAAACUAUUUUUAAUUCAAAGGAAGAUUUCUGAUUCCAGUUCUGUCUCAACUAGUAUGAAUUCAUUACUUCACAUUUCUAUAUGGAUUUAGCUUAUUCUUUCCAUCCUGUUAAGUAAUUAUCUGCGCUAUUAGGUUUGAAUUUGUGUUUUGGAAUCUCUCAUCUAGCUCCUUUUUGUAUUAUGACUAUUAACUAAAGUGAAUUUAUUUAUGUGUUUUUAAAUACGUAAUAUUACACAUCCUGAUCUCUUCAAGUGAAUCUUUUAAGGGCGGUUAUAGCAGAGAGUUGGUGCAACGUAUACAUUGUUUGAAUGGAUAAUUGUAAUGUUGGGUCCAAUACCAAAAAGACACACACACACCAAAAAUCCACCAUUUUGUAGUGAAUCUUGGGGGGUUGAGAUGUUUUUUCAAACGGGCAUCGUGACAACAGCCUGCCACAGAGUUUGGGUCAUCAGUGUAGUCGUUAAGCAGGCCGUAAUGGGCCGUGCGAGGCUGUUCUGCUCUGGCGCCGGGCCGGCUGACCUGUGGAUCACACCAACAUUAUCGGCCGACGGAUCGCACCAUUAUGCCCUUGAUGGAGGGGAACUGUGGAUGUGUCUGGAGGAGAUCGAAAAUGCGUUCCCAGUGUGCUGCCAAUCUGCAGACACGCCACAGGCAGGUGUGGGUGUGUGGGGGGGCUCACGCGUGUACUAUGUGCAGGAGCACGCGUUCACAUGCAUUAUGUAGGAAUCGACAUUAUGGAUUUUGGGUUGUCUAUUCAUAUCCAUUAGUAGCCAUCCAGUUUAUAGCCAUUUUGGCUUUUUAAAGUUUUUUCAAUAAAUGGUUGAAUCUGGCACCAGCCGUGCAGCUUGUGCAUGUGUGGUCUUCAGUAACUCCACUUCCCUUUUUUGUAUCUCAUACAGAAGCACUAAAGGUCACAGCUGUCUGCGAUGCAGCAGAGACUAUCGAACGUGAGGGAAGAGAACCAAACAACGAUGGUGAGUGAGAAGACGACAGAAAUGCAAACUACAAACGCUAAUCACAGUAAAUGUCAACUCACUCCUGCCACUCGUUCCUUAUUUAUUUUAUUUCCUUCCACAGAUUUGUCAUUCCGGGUGACUUCCUUACAAAAUGCAAUGCUUCUGUUGUCUAGAUGACUAAUAAGGCAGUUUUAAAAUAAAAAUAGAAACUCCAAUGAUACAACAUUGUCUUGUGAAAUGAAAUAAAUAAUCAACCCUGACCUGCGGCGUUGUUGUAUUCCAGCAUUCUAUGUCUGCCAAUUAUUCAUUUACUCUAUCCACAUGAAAAGGUUUUUCAUGUUUUAGAUUAAUCAAAAUGAAUGCAGAAAACUUUCUUCAAUGAUGAUGAACCCGAAAAGUGAUAUUUUCAUAAAUAAAUUGCUUGAAAAAAACGCCUGUUACCUCCCUCGCCGUGUAUACUAAGUGCUUAGUCCCGCUGCCAGCAGUGGUCCGAAGGAGCGGAGGGGAGGCCCGCUUUGAUGGAGGUGGGAGUGGGAAAGACUUGCCCACAGCCGCUCUAUGACAACACUUGCACACGCUGUCGGCCAAACAAACUGUGCUGGGAGUCAAAUUCACUAAGCUGAGGGAUGCUGUGUGCAGAGGGGGGGCGUCUCCUUUCCAGUAUCAAAAGAUGGCUGAUUUAAUAGUUAGGUUUGUUUUUUUGCUUCUAAUUUCAACCCUCCCCUCAUGCACGCUUCAUCUUUUGCCCUCUUUGUCUCUCAUUACGCUUUCAUGGAGCACACACAAAAUGUUUUAUCCGCCAGCCAACCAAUCCCACCAGCAGGUCCGGGCACGCCACUAAUUGUGGUCGGUUGGCCAAGUCUUCAGCUUGUUGCCAACAUAAAUUACAGAGUUACAAUGCUGAAACUCUCAAAGCCACAAGAAGCACCUCCAACAAGGACCCUGGGCAUGAAAACAAGGUAAAUAGGCACACACUUUUCACAUACAAAAAGGUUUGUACAUAAAAAUAUAUAUCUUUCAAGGCAUGAGUUUAUUCCUUUUACUAAAUAUUUUUCAAAAGCCCACAAUUAGCUUCUUAAAAAUUAAAUUAGCUCAAAACUUAGCGUAACUACAACUGCAUACAUUUGUAUUAUUCAGUCACGGUGAUAGAUUGUAUGUCGGCUGUAGAGACAGUUAGAGGUCAAACAGUCUUUUUUACAACGUGCCCUUUUAAUUCUGGCCUCUACGUCCAAUCCAUCAAAUACCUCCCUGUUUUUAAACUCGAGAGAAAAAAAUAGACAGGUAGCACAGCAGUUGAGUGCGUGCACAUACCAACGCACACUGUUGCAUGCAGGUACUGUAUAUGCACGCAUUCUUACACACAGUGAUUAAUGACCAGGCCUGAGUGGGUUCAGUCCUCUACAGGCCCACUUUGAAAGGCCAAUACUGAUUUCCCCCGUGUGAAUAUAGAGUACUUGUAUGCACGUGUGCAAACUAAUUCCCCGUCGAGAGGGGAAUUGAUAAGAUGCACGUCUGUAAAACAAAACGCAUGUGUUGCACUCAAAAUGUUGCACCUUUUCUAGCGUUACAAAAGGGUUAAAGAGCUUGAACUCUAAUUAUGACAGUAUUUGACAUGCUUACUGGUUUAGUUUAGUACUAUGCUGAAUACAGUGAAACGAGGUUUGGUAGUCUGGCUUUGUAUUUUCUUUAACGCAUUUGUUAUAUAUAAAUGAAAACGAGGCUAGCUGGUUCUCCCUGCUUCUAUAAAGCCAGUUUAACUAACAAGCUGCUGGUUGUUGCUCCAUUAUAAGCAUUCCAAAUUAACAGAGACGUUAAUCCUCUGAUUAACUAAAGAUUUUUUUACUAUUUUGUGAAGUGAAUAUUCUGUUAAAUACACAGAAGAAUGUACUUGUUGAGGAAAAGAAUGCUAUUGACAUCCAUUGGGUUCCAAAUGAGCCAUGUCUUUAUCCCUAUACCUGUCACCCUUUUGAUAAUAACCACUCGUUUCAAAGGACCCUCUUGGACAAGGGAAGUCUGGCACAAAAUUAUUUGUUCUAAUGUCCUGCGUGAUAAUACGGCAGCAUCUUAGACCCUCACUCUGGAGAAAGUCUACAUGGCUCAGUCCCAAAGCACAGAAUAUGGAUCAAUGCAUCCUUUCUGCUUGAAGAAAUUGCAUUGUAGACAAGUCGAAUGCGGGAAAACGGUGUAGAAUGUGUAUCCAGAGACGUAAUACUGGCAAAUAUUAGUUACUUAUGCGCAUGGACUCAGAAAUCCAGCAGCAACAGCUUCCUAUUUCUAAAUGAUCACAACAUUCAGCAUCAUGAACUCACUACUAUUGAGGACUGUUUUCACAGCAAAAGGAAUAUGGUUUUCUUUGAUGCCUCGCUUUGACCCCCGGCGAUGAGGCUGCGCAUGAUUUGUGUACAACGUGUAGGGCCAUUGCUCAUCUACUGUAACGCAAACAUGACAAUGAAUAGCAAAAUGAAGACCACUUAUUCCCUAAGUAAAAACAGAUACAAAGAAAUCUGUGUAAAUUGGCCAAGGCAUACCAACAGUCUAUAAGCAAACCUUUGGAAAAGCUCACCAAGAAAUCCAUUAACUGAGCUAUGAUGCUUGUCAACUUGCAUUUGAUCAAUGCUUGGAUUUUGAAACUUCUUUUAAAAUGUCACAUCCACUUAAUAUCACAAUAUUCAGCAGAUAGCCCGGGCCUUGAAGGUGUUUCAUGCCUUCUAAAGUGGAGAAAAUAAAUUCUCUCUCAUGAAAACUGCGGACAAAUGUCACACGCAAUGCAAGUUCUAUAUUGAGCAUCACAGACCUUAUUUGGUUUCUAACAUAUUGCAAUGGCAUGCAUAAAUGCAGCCAAUUACGGACUUUACUUAUAAGUUUAUAUUUCAGGCGUGGAUAACAAAAACAAUCUUUUUUGUGUGUAACAUUAUACAGUAAUAUAAAGACCCUUCAAUCAUUGGCUGAAAGUGUAUGAGUUACGGUCAUUGCUACAAAAUAAACAGGAUACAGUUUAAUGAAAUAGCCCUCGUUUGCUGCUGUUAAUUUAUCCUCCUCAAAGGACAUGUAACCGGACGACCUCACACUCGGGGGCUCGCACACUUUGUCAUGUAGCACAGCUCCUCUUUGUUCAGGCGUGGACGUGACGGAGGAGGUGUUGGAAAUAUCUUGCUAUCACACAGAUGACCAUCCAACGUAUUAUUGACUAUGCUUUCUUCUGCAGAAACACAUACGAAGAACACUUCACAUAUGUGACUGCAUCUACAUAUUCAAACUUUGCUGAUGUGCACGUGUCACGUACUCAGUGUUUUGCCGUGUGCGCUCUAUCACGCCGUCGAGUGUUCAAGCCUUUGCAAACUGAGCAGCUGGUCUCCCCUGUGGGAGUCAUUAGCAGUAAAGCUCAUCCUUUUGUCACACACUCCAGUGUCUGUCCCUCACCUCGCAGCCCAACCUUGGGGCCCGUCCUGUCCCCCCCCCUGCACACCUGACGUUACUUUCCUCUUCUCUGCGACUUCAGGGCUCCUCUGGCUGGCUGCUCCCGUGGAAACGGAGCCAGAUAACUGGAAAGAACGGGAGAGGGGGUGAAUAAGCAAGAAAGGGACCGGAGCGGAUGAAAAAAGGAACACAAGCACGGGAUGUGCCGAGGGAGACAAUGAGGUCUGUCUUCUCUCCCCCAGCCUAUUAUCAGUCUCGGAGGACGCACCCACCUAUCCUUGUAAAGUCAGAGACAAAGAGAGCUCACGCUCACUUUCUCCCUCUGCGCCGGCUCUCGCGUUAUUUCUUAAAACCCCCCUCGCCUCCCGCAUCCACCCAACCGUCGGCCUUCGCUCACCGCCUCUGUUCAGUCGUGCCACAGGGAGAGUCAGUUAUGCGAGAGCCUCGUCUUCUCUCCUUAAUCUCAGCGUGGCAGAGCUGGCUUCGCUUUAGAUACACAGAGCCCCACUCACUUGCCUCAGCCCAGAAAACAACACCACUGACAUUAUGCCAACUCACGCUCCACACCGGCCCCAACAAGCCCAGGCGGAUGGAAGAGGAGAUAGGGGCCCUAGCAUGUGGCUGGAUGAGAAUGACUGCUGUUCCAAUAAUUCAAUAGAUCUUCAAUAGAGAUGCCCCCCCGCCACCCCAUGUUGUUUAUAUCAGACAGAAAAUAAAAUAAAAUUGAUCCCUAUGGUAGAAAGUUUAAGAUAAAAAUAGGCAGUUUACUUGGAAAUGCUGUUUCAUGGCCCAGAAUAGAGGGAAACAAUCUUGAUUUUCUAUGCAUGGUUCACUGUCACAUACUGUACAUAGUGUACUCACUUUAGGAUUCCCAUGAGGACUGAGGCAAUCUCUCAACAGAUCCAAAUGGUGACAGCGCAGAUUGGGAAUGAACUCCCUUUAUGGAUUUUUGCUCCAAAUAAAGUGGCUCAUUCCCCGUGAAUGGCCGUGACCCCAACACAAUUAACCUGGCAAUUUGUCACUUUCAAGGGCAUCCACUGGGAGUUUGGCGUAAUUGGCCAACUUGUCAUCAUCCUUCACUCCCUGAUCGGUAAUGGAAGAGAGGGGAGAUGAUAGACAUGAUUUAACAUAACCUAUGUGUUAUCUCUUCUCUUCUUCCCUUCUUCUUUUUCCUUCCAGCAGUCCCUCAUCAUUCUACAGAAUUAUUCUUCUUUCUUAGCAAUCAUUGAUACGCAGAUAAUUAAGGAGUCUCAAGGCCCCGCAGUCACAGCUGUUAUUUAAGAAUCACUAUUAUGUCCUCUUUUACAGCCUGUUAAUCACUACUGCUACAACUGCAUGUGGAAGCAGGGGCGAGUGCCCUCCCAACUAGAUGAAUGAAAAUAGGAUUGAUUUCCUAUGGAGACACAUGGCCAGGCCCGAUACACCAGCACACAGGGUAGAUCAGGUGUUAAUGAAUAUCAAUGAUGAUCUAAUGAAGGAGCGGAAUAAAAGAGGGGAACAAAGGAGAGUUAAGGCUCGACUGUGAAGAAGGAUGUGUUUUAAAAAGUUACUUGAGGAGUUUAAAUACCGCGGAAUGUUUGAGAAAAUUACGGUCGAUGCAUUAGAAAACAUGCAAUUUUCUCAAGUAGUCUUUUUCGACCUUUACUCGAAGACACUUUUACUUCAUCACAGCCAUUGUCCCUCUGCGGUGGAGCGAUUAUCAGGGCAACAGGGUGAAGCCUGUCGUCUCAACACACAUCUUGUCAUUGCAGACUGUCCUUCCCUUGCUCGGCAACAAUUGUUAAUUCUCUCCUACUUUACAGCAUCAAUCUCCUGCCUCCCCGCCCAUACAUCCAGCUCUUUGUGGAGCUGUUAAGCGGCUCCGCUACUGGACUUUUUGCCCUCUUGUUUCCAGCUCGGCAUUGAUUCAGAAUUUCCCAUGAGCUGCUUCAGGGUAUAAAAAAAGAAAUGAAGCGAUGGUGAAGUAGUUGGAAGAACUUAAAUGAACAAAACUUGUGUUAUGUACAGCCUUUUACAUCUAUUUUCAUCCACACACAGUUCUUCUGGUGGUUUUGCAAUGCAUGUCUUUGAUGUGGUUACAAAACAGAGAUACUUGAAAACUGAAAAUGAAAUCUUAACACUACCAAAUCCACACUAGAACAGUUUUCAUACAAAACGACUAAGGUGCUGAUUUAAUACCUGAUCUGAUCUUAUCUAAUACCUGAUACAAAAUUUAAAACGACCGUUGUCAUGUUGGGUUUAUUUUUUUCCGAGCAUGUUGAAUUAAUUUUCUUUUUCCAAUAAAGUUUAAUGUGUUCAAGGUAAAAAGAAAAAACACUGCACACAUAUAAGUCUAAUCUUUUUAAAUAGCUUCAAAGGUAUGAAUGUGCGUGGCCUUAAUAUUUACCCUUGACUUUUUCCAUGAAACGUGGUUGAACGCUUGGAAUAAAUGCUGCUUUCAAGGUAGUAAAUGGACCUUCAAGCUCAAAUUUCUAUCCAUGUUGUAUUUGUUUUAUACCAAUAACAACACCUUGCUCACACACCCCCUAUGAUCCCAAUCUUAGUUUAGUGUGUAGAAUACCUCCUAUAUUUAAUAGUUUAAUAUUAGUACUGGGAGAUAGUUCAAGGUCAUCACCAGAGUCAUCGGACUACAUCCCCUGAAAAUCAAGAAUACUUGAACCAAAUUUCACAGGAAUCCAUCACUUUUAAGUCUGUACCAAGGUGGACGAUUGACACAUCGAACAACAUUGCGUUAACUACUGCAACCUACUUUAACUGUUGGAUUAUUGGACGACAACCCACACAUAAAAGACGACGGUGAGCUGCCUACCAAAGUGUUGGAAAAUGUUUAGCCUUGAAACUCUAAAAUGUUUCCAUGAUACCAAUCUGACAAAAUGGCAUCGGUUCAAAGGUUGACAUCAAGUGACAUCUGACGUAAUCAAGACGCACACGUCUGCUGCUGAAAGAAGGUUAUUGGUUGCUUUGUGGAGGGCAGCCUGGGCUGUAAGUGCUCUAACACCAGAUUAAAAUUACUCAAAGAUAUUACUUUGACUUAUAACAGUAAAUGUAAUUAGGUUGAUACAGCUUUUAAAAUCUUGGGUAAAAAAAAAUAAAAUUUUGAGAUCAGCCCAGACUCUGCGAGACACACGGGGUCAGGCCUCGUCACGCCGAUUAAGGGAUGGGGUUAACAAGUGAAUCUGUUAUUCUGGAAAGCUCCACGGGAUUGUUGGUUCGCAGAGAUGAGAGUUGAGAAAAAUAAGCUGCUCUUGCAUGCUUACAAGCCGCUUUCUGAUGUAUCAGCCUUAAAUCCUUCAUUGUACUGCAGGACAUUUAUCUCAUUUAUGGAGAGAUUUUCUGCACUUUAUCUUCGCAGCCUGAAUGUUAUCGUUCACCCGUGACAGGGUAAUUUCCUGUUUACUGUGUUAUAAAAGGGCAGUAAGAACCAGAACAUAUAAAGAGUAUAAUGUAUUUGAGAACCUAACAGUUUGUACUCCGUGUAAGUUUGAAGCCUCAUUUCUCAUUAAAGCAGAAACACUUUGGCUUUGAGAACUUAACCCGUGAGCUCAAGCUCAGCAAACUACAGGCGACGGUUGAGUCUGUCCUAAGAUCUCUCUUUUGCAAAGAUUCAAACCAUUCAUCCAUCUGUCGGUCUUUCCGACACAUUUCCCCCUUUACUCCUGCAAAAACUGUUUGUGAAAAAUGAAAUAAAUAAAAAAUACCCAGCUGGAUUUGACUCAUCCCAAAGCUCUGCAGCUGAGGGAGUCGAUACGUUCAUUUCUCGGCUCUUAGCACGCCCAGACACCCCCCCGACACCCACUCCCCCCCACCUCCCCUGCCCCGUGCACAAGCCUGCAUUAUCAUAAGCCAAAGCAUCCGAGGUGUGCAACGUAAGCCUCUGCAGUGCACCUCAUGUUUCAUAAAGAGAUAAGAGCCCCUAAAAAUAUCCAUGGCGUGUGGAGCGAUAGCCCAGCAUUAGAAGAGCGACCCUCUACGGCCAACCAGCCAAGCGCCAUCUCCUUUAAUUCCAAACACAAACAUUAAAAUGUAUGAUCCCAUAGACCCAGCCCUCUUUAUUUAGACAACUGAUUAAAAUGUUAUUGCAUUAAUUGAUUUUAAUUUACUUGGUAAACCCGGAAUAGAAGCGAAAAAUGAUAUGAUUAAAUUAAAAGUCACCCUUACAAUUUAGGUUUCAGUGACACACAGAACAUGUGCGUAAAACAUCCAAAGUGAACAAUGUGGAUUCAUUAGUGCAUCUUUCUGAAGACAUCUAUACAUUUAGGUGAUUCAGACUCAGCACAGGUCUCCUGUGUAAAUCUGCAAAUAGAAAUGAAGCGUAAGUUCCGUAUUUCCUUCUUUUCUCCUCCAGAUGUUAUCUCAUCAAUAGAUUGAUCCCUGACUAUGUGAAACUCACCAUCAACUCAUUGCGAUUAGCGAGCUCCAAAGUAAAACAUAAAUAAUCUCUCAUACAGCCGUUACGUCGCCCAUACCUCUGUGUAGAAUCCGAACUUAAAGCAAAAGGAACGCAUUUCAGAUCUAAAUAAAUAUGUAUCCUUCAAAGAGAAGUCUGUUCCCCACUUUACGCACAAGUCUGGGGGGGCGUAAAGCCUAAUAGACUUCCAAACUGGGGUGGCAUAACUCUUGGGGUAGCUUUUGUUCUCAGAUAACUUCAAGUUACAUGUCCUGAAUGAAGCUGGUUAUAGAGAAACUGUGAGUGAAAGGGAGGCAGAUUGAGUGAUUGUUUGUCUCCCCGCCAUCUGUUUCCCUCCAAACUAGUCCGUGCUCGUUCUGUUCUCCACACAAAACAAAAUGUCUUACAUGCUCACACAGUGUGAUGAAUAGGGAGAGAGGAUGACAGAGGCGGAUAGAGUGGAGACAAGCUAACCCUGCUGUACUUUUUGGGAAUGCCUGGAGAGCUUCAAAUCGAGAAUCAUUUAUAUAAAUCAGGUAACUAAAGAGACUUUCCUGCAAGUUGUUUUGCCGAACUCCCCGCAUCCUUAUUAGCCCUCACGGAAGCAAAUUCAACCCUACAUGAAGAACUCAUCAGAGUCGCUUGCCCCUCCGAACUAUCUGCAGAAAUUAUUUAUUCAGUCCUAAACAAAUACUUCUGAAAAAUUCAAUAUAAAGUUUCUUCCUCUCUGCAAAAAAGGUUGUUCUAAUCUCUCGCUUGCAUGAUGUCGUACACUGGUAUGGCUAAAAUAUUGAAUUGAAAUUAUUAUGUUUUCUGAUAACUUUUAACGUUUUCCAUUCAUUGUUAAAAGUUCCCGUCCUUUUCUGCUUCGUAACUCUCCAUCCCUCCAACGUCUUCUUACAGUUUUUUCACCACGCAAUUUAAUUUACUUUCUUUUGUCUACUUCAGCUCAUCCUUGAACCAUUUUAUUUUUGACUUCAUCUCCUUUAACUCUGUCUUACAAAUCUUGUUAAUUUUCUUCUCGCACCUACUUUUCUUCACCAUUUGAGUUUAUAUCAAGCCAAAGUAGUUGCCGUGUCUUUGCUUGCCCUUCUCUUUUGAUGGCAUAUGGAUAGAAUAUAUUUAACAAUCACUCAGACCGCCCCACUAGUCCAGCAUUUCAUCUCUUAGUGGGAAUAAAUGCUAGACAUUCCCACAUUAUUUUUUAAUUUAUCAAACCUUUAUCUUUUGGGAUAAAAAAAGUUAUAUUAAUACAUUUUUUGGCAAAUUCCUGUUUGUUUGCAUUAGGCUAAACAAUUGAUGCAGUACAAUAAAGUGUGCAGGUGAAGGAGCCCAGCCAAGGAAUGAUUACAUUAAUACAUUGCCCUACUCAUGAGGUCUGAAGUGAAAAAGAACAAGAGAGAGACUGUGUUUCUAUUGGUGGAGGUGGAAAGUUAUAUAGUGAAUACAUAUGAUGAACUAUAUCCACCAAAGAUUCACGAAUGCUUUUUUUUAGAUAAAAAAACAAUUUCCGAUACAAUAAAUAGAGAGAGAUAAGAAACUCCUGAUUUAUAAGAACAUUUCUGACAGCCCUGUCCUCUUUGAAGAUAUUGGCUGCUAGAGGGAAUUGUGAUCACCUGCAGAAAAGCACCAACUUACUAAUAUGAAUAUGAAGUUCCAUCAAGGAAAGAGGUUGGGUUUUCUGGCCAUCUCUUUUCCCCAUGCCUUGUUGUGUAAUUUGUCUCAUAUCUACAUGGUUUUGGAACAGUCAUUAGAGGGUAAAUCCCCUCGGCCCAACUUGCCACAGAAAAGCGCUAGCAUUCAGGGCGUGAUAAAUGGACACUCAAGACUUGUUAUUAUGAUGAAUGGGAAUUUCACACUAGUAACAGCCAAAACAAAAACCUCAAUAGAAAUUCCUCCCAAAAGUGCGGCCAAUGGUAUAUAUCGGAAACGGAUGCCUAUAGGAUCACCUGAUUGGCUUUUAUCGGAUUGUUGGACUUGCUUGAGGUUCGUGAACGUAUCCAUUUCCAAAAAAAGUCUGAAAAUGGAGUCCAAUACCAAAACAAAUCGGCCGUUACUAUGGUGAUUAGUGAGGAACCCAUGGUUGUUUCAGUACAGGUUGCUGGUCAUUGUGCUGUGGACAUGGAUGCCCCCGAGACAAUACAUUACAGUAACCAUAUUAUCAUUAGGGAAGUACAUGAAGGGAGACAGAGGGGGAGAGAGGUAGCGCUACAUUGUGUCUCUGAUAAAUGGGUUAUAUCAAAGAGCAGAGAGAAAGAGAGCGAGGGUGUGAUCCAAAUGGAGAGAUGCAGAGGCGAGGGAGGUACAGCAUAGGGCAAUUUAAUCCCAACCAUCUCGGCUGGAUAAUAAGAGGGGAGCGAGGGAAUAUAAAUAGUGAGUGAGAGACUAAUGGAACUCAUUUUAGGAGAGUAUUUAACCUAUUUUAGAGAGAAUCCAGGGUAAUCAAUUCAAUGUGCUUUUAGCCAAGGCCCCAGCUUUAAUUACUCUCCCAGUAUGAUUAUUCUCUGACACGCUACCUCCGUCCUAGAAAUAGAUAUUAGGUAUAAUACAAUGGUGGCUUAAAUGGGUCGCAAAUAUUCGAAAGAUCCAGGAACAUAGGCAAUGGUUGCAACACAACUUGUAUUAAAUGGGGAUUUCAUGGAAGACAUGCAAGGGUGAUUUAAUGUAUUUGACAAGUAUUGGAUUGUAAUCAACUAUAUUUUCCAACUAAGAUAUGCAUGUUAGCCUGCAACUCUCAUUUCAGGAAGCAAAUCUGAGUAUAAGCCCAUGUACCAAAUAUAACAAAAAACAGUUAACUAAAUCUAAUAAUUACUCAGUUAAAUGCAGUAGCUUUUGAAUUACUCCUUAAUCGCUCAUGAUACAAUGGAUUGACAACCGUCAUGACUUAUUUCACAUUAUUGUAUUCAGUGGCAGGCCAGACAUAACAGCUGGCCUGUUGGUGCUCUCCUUUCAGACAGUGUCAGCAGCCAGUUCAAACCUUGGCCUACAGUUGCUCAGUCAAUAUGUCCUUAUAGUCCCAGGGACACUAAAAAGGUCUGCUAGUGGUGUUGUUGGUGUGACAGUCAACUCCAAUCCACUCCUCGAAAUAUCUCCCACAAGGCGAAAGGGGAUCUAAUGUCUAGAGGGCCUCGGGAAAAUAUGCAUUUCGCCCUCACAUAUAGUCACAGUGGGACUGUGUGUUACUGUAUACUCGCAAGAUAUUUGCUUAGUUAGCUACGCAGACGCUAACACAAACAUGGCAACGACAAAUCUUUGGAAAAACAUUGUGUCCUGGUCUCCAAUUUGACGAAUGCAAAGAGAAAUCAGAACAGGAGCUUUGACUUUUGAGCUGUAAAGCUCUCUGUUAUCUGUCACGAAGCACAGAAGUUUCGCCGUGAGCCCAAUUUUCCUGCUUUUUACAUCUUUCCUGCAUACCCAAAAGAGAUAAUGUCUCUUUUAUGUCACAGAGAACAGGAAUCGCGUUGAACGUCCACACAAACAGACACAAUGUCACUGCCAUUCAGUGGAAGAAGAGCAGCUCCAAGGCACUCAAGUAUCUUCUCGAGUGCCAAUUAGAAAAAAAAGAAUCAAGUGAAGUCAAUUUUAAUGUAUCCUUGUGGACAUUCACAUGGUAAUUUAGAUGCGUUCCUUUCAAACCGCUCCAAAAGCGGUUAUUAAUACCAAUAGCAUACACACUUCACAUCAGCAGUGACUGAUGCUCCGUAAGUGUUCACGUUUACUGUUACUUCUUAAAAUUCACAACACUAUUUAUUCCAUAGUCGUAUGUAUUAACGGCUAACAAGAAAGCCAAUACAAGCAAGCAGCUUAGACAAUGUGCUUUACAAAUCAGGUGUGACUAAUGUCAUCAACUGUGGCUCUGUUCUAUUAAAAUCUCCAUGUGAGCCACGGCAAUGUGAGUGAGCCAGCAUGCACGAUACCAGGACUGAAACUGAAACAGCUAAAUGGACUGAAUGAAUUAAUCAAUUGAAUGUAUUAAUUCCGCCUCUCACUGUUUUGGUCAGACAGUCACAUAUCAAAAAGUCUCCCAUUAAGAGGCCUUUCUAGCGAAGGAGACGUUUUGAAUAUGCGCUCCUUUGCUCAUGCUUUUAAGAUUUCCCAGAAGAAAUCUGAACAUUGGAUGAGUCCACGUUUGAAUGAGGUUUAUUAAGGAAUCUGGGGAAUAUCUCUCUAUUAUUACAAUGAACAAAAAUACUCUUUUAGGAAUGAAAGGUUCAACAAAUCAAUGAAUGACAUAUGAACAAUUCCUUGUUGAAUCCCCCAAAAGUCACAAAAAAGAUAAAAUUGGUAAAAUAAUAACUAACACUUUGAGUUACACACCGAACAGUUACUGUAACUGUAACACUUGUUGGGUUUGUUUUAUUUUGUCUCCUCUCGUUUCAGGUCACUCACCCUUCCUCAUGUGUCACCAGUCUGAUUGUCUUCCCUGAUUCCCGAUUGUGUCCACCUGUUCCCCAUUGCCCUCCAUGUGAACUAAUAGUCGGCGUCUCCCUUUGUCCUGUGCCAGUGUGUUCGUUUCCGUCCUUGUGUUUAUGCGUCUGCUCUAGCCUCGCCAUAGUUUUUCACUGCUCCGUUGUUUUUCCUCCAAUAGAGUGAUUUUGAUUUUGUGACGUUUUGUAUCAUAUAUUUAGUUUAAUGGUUAAUGAUUUUGUAGUCCUUUAUUUCCCCCGUAAGGAGUCCAUUUUGUUUUGAUAAUCUUUCAUAGUGCCUCCAGUUUUAAGGAAUGUUUUUUGUGAUGUGAUGUUGUGAUGUUGCCUCCAUCGAAAGAGUGCUUACCCAGUAUUUUGAUAAAGUUAUAGGCCUUUUUGUUUUCCUCCUAGAGUGGAGCGACUUUUUGUUGAUUGAAGUUUUAUAGCCACACGUCUUUUUUUGUGGCAGAAGUGUGAUCUAGGUAAUUUUUAUAGCUCAUAUUUCUUUGCUCUGCCUUGGAGAGGUCCAGUCUUACCAAUAAAGACUACAAAUCUCAUAAAACCCUGCAUCUGUGUCCAGUGUUCUGCCGGGUCCUGACAGUAACAAUGUUUGUAUAACUGAAAAGCAUUAAAUGAACCCAUUGUAAUAUGUUAUAGGUAAAUACACUAUGCUGGGUAAAAGCAAGUGUGAAAGCAUUGUUUUAGACUUAGACAAAGUGAUUAUAUAUGAUUCCAUCUACAGUGGGACAAUGAGCCAAAGGACUCUCCAUGGUUCCACUGAGCCCUUUUACUUUGACCGGUGUUGCAUGUCCCCAUUUUUUUAACAUCUUAUUUUUUUCUAACUUUCAAUCUCUCCAACUAUGGGUCGACUGACUUCUCACUAACACUCCUCAUGAGACUGAUUCAAAAGAACAACCAUAUAGCUGCAGACUCACUCGUCCCACCGAAUGAGCACUCUGUGACUCAGAGACGUCCCGACAGAUGGAUUACAUCCCUUUUUGUCCGGGCUUUCGCUGCCGGGCUGUGGGGUACGGGCACUUGAUAAAAUCAUGUCAAAACAGUCGAAUCAGUUCCUGAACUGAAAAGCCCACUCUGGGGGAGGGACCAAGAUCACGUCAGCUCCAGCACCGUCUGAUGCAUUGUAAAUGAUCCCUGAAGGUGUUGGCGGGAGAUGAACCACAGCGAUGGAAAGUAUAAUGCUGGAGCCGUAGAUAAACAUGCUGACUAACUGUUCUCUGGCGACCCUGCAUCCUGUUUCAGUGUAUUUGUUGGGUGUGAGGGGAGGGGGGGGGUGAUAAAGAAAAGUGGGCGCUUCUAUAGACGCCGAGCAGCUUAAGUUUAAUUGCUUGUGGUGGCAGUCAAAGUCAAUACGCUGGUCAAUGGCCCGUGCAUCCCGCAGGUUCAUUUCCCCCUAAUUACUCUACAUGCACCCAGCCAAUGCAUAAGUCUGUCAUCAUUAAAAUAAUAAGAGCGGGUAUGGGUGACGAGGAGAGCAGUAAGUAUGGAGGGACAAAUGCAAAAUAAGUUAAUGAAUCAAUAGCGCCGCAAAGAGAAGGAGAAGGCACAGAAUGAAGUGUUAUACACAUAUAAACACAUCCAAAUCUUCAAAUACAUGCGCACACACAAUCACAUUUAUGUUGAGAAAACUUUUAAAGGGAGCUUUUGAAAUGUAAAAAAUAUGAUAAAGGGAGAAAACACAAUGUCACCUGUUAGUGGCUGUAAUUUAAACGAAAUAUGCAUAUAAAUAAUUGUGUUGACUUGAACUUUUAGUUGACAUUGUGGUCACGAGGAACACUGCAGCAUCAACAACCAUCCACCAAACGCAUUUUAAUUCCACUACAAAAUUUGCUUCAGUGAUCGUGAUCAAAUCUAAUAAGAUCUGUCUUUUCCACUCAGCCCACCCAAUUCAAUUCCUAUUUUCAAUAAAUAAAACAACAAAAUGAAAUAAGCAUUAGCAAAGCAGCGGCUCAGCUCAUUGCCGUUUCCCCGGAUCUGCUGGAUUGCUGCGUAAUGGGGAAUAGAUAUCGGAUCAGCACAUCUGCGUGCAUUAGGUGGCGUGCAUCCUCCAUGGCGUAGCCGUGUCUUCUACAGUUGCAGAGUGUAAUCCUCGGCCUUCACCAGCUGCCCGCAGGUCUUUCGGAAACGUCUCACUUGGAUGACAAACAGGUGGACACGGUUUGAUUAGCUUGUUAAAACACACCUGCUACUGAAGGGCAAUGCAAUCCAUCCACACACACACACACGCACAUACACACACCAACCAACCUAAACUCACACAAACACACACCACUUUGCUUUGGAUAAAAGCGUCAGCUAAAUGACCUGUAAUGUAAUGUAGUGCAAAAACUAACUGAGGCCUGUGAAACACAGAUAAUUAUUGUAGGGAUCAUUAUUAGCUGCUUUAAAGGAAAAAUGCCAACCUAAAUGCCCAUGAUUAAGAAUUAUACAAUGAAAUAGAGAGUAAACUGUGUACCAUUCUUUCAAUACUGUAUAUGUUGGUUCUCACUUCAUGUUCGUUAUACGAGCUGCUCAUGAGUUUGUUUUUAGUUCAGUUGUAAUAUUUCUGCAGUUAUAAGAUCAAUAUGAGUUUAAGACAUCAUUUCCGUUAAUGGCAAUAUAAUAAACAUGAUAUUUAACAUUAGAAAGGAAAUGCUACUUGAUCAAUGUUGUAGGAUCAAACAUUUUGUCAGACGUCUGGUUUACUGUACAUGUUUAACACUGUUGUUGUCAGGUGUCCCCUACAUAAUGACAUGAUAUCAGGCCUUAGGUUUUUAUCUUGUUCUUUAUUCUACUUCAAAGGAACCACAGAGGAGAUGAUGUUCUAAACCAGAGGUGCCCGAUAGCUGGAUCGCGUCGGGGAUGACCGAAAGUAAUGCUAAUGCUAACUAGCAAUCCUUGCUUAAUAACGGACGCAUUUCAUUUCAUUCCAAAGCAACCCAGGCUGACGGUAGCUUAAGGUGAAGGUAAUGACCAAGAAUGUGCAGGAUGCUUGUGACGGUUUCCUCCUUCUGACAGAUGAGAGGCGCGUUGUUUUCUUCUCAUCGACACGUUUUGCGCUUACGGCAGCGCUGUUGCGCGGUCACCGCUACUACUUCGCCAUUACUUGGUUAAUUGAAAAGGAUGUGAAUUUAGGAAAAAUACAAACUUUUUUCAUCGAAUGGCAAAUGGUUUGUAAUCUGAACUCCAGACACCAAUCACUAUAAUAAUAGUAUUACAAUACCUUAAUUAAACGAAUAGAUGGUCUAAUGAUUUGGCAAGUAUCUCACAGUUUAAUGGUGUACGGUGAUGGUCCCACCGGCUGCAUUUGAAAGGCACCAGAGACAUUCUCUGCAAAAGCGCUUUAUGGUAUGCCAGCAGGGUAACAGCUCUUUGAAAGCCCAUUGACUCAUUGUUACAUUUAAACCUUCUCAAACAUGACACGUUUUAUUCCUGUGUCGGCCUUUACUUCAGUGACCGGCGUGUGAAUGCCUCUGUAUGUGUGUAUGGGGCCUGCAACGCUUAUACAGUAUUGCAGAGUGAUUCCCCACCAUUACCAAUGGGACAAGGGCAAUUGAACCCUGGCACUUCAUGUUUUAAAUGCUCCUUUAUGCAUCAAAUGUACCUUUGGAAGAUAAUAACACGGCAUAAUAGAUUUUUAUGAAAAUGCAUUACAUGGGAGAGAAGGUAGUGCAUGUGAAUGCUGUUCCCUUCCCCUAGUCUCACCCUUCAACAAAUCCCUUUCCAGUAGCUACGCUUUGGGUCCAUAAAACUUCUGCUUAUGAAUAUUUAAUGUAUAACUCAUGUAAUGCAAAUUUAACUUUGUUUUAUUUUCCCUCUGCCCAGUCCAUUAUUUUGCCCAGCGCUGCGACAGAUCUCGCCGAGAGCUGAGGCGCACUGUUGAGCGUCCAGAGGCUUUGCACACCGCAGAGACAUGACCAAGGGUUCAAAUACACAAGGUUAAAGAUAUAGAUGACAAGCACGGUUUAGUGUUCUAGAAUUGAUUGGAUAUUAAUGCAGGCCGCAUGUUUUUAUAUAUCAUGUAGGAGGAGGCAUUCACAUCAAAGGAUAAAAAUCAUUUACGGCUGUUUCGGCCAGUGAAGGGUUGCAUGGUGACUACUACAACACCUUUUCUCUUACAGUACACAACAAAAUACUCCUUCAUACAAUAAUUUCCAGUAAGUUGAAUUAGACAUGGAAAUUAAGCUACAUACAUACUUUGUUCCCAUCACAUCUCAUCACAUUACUGGAUAAACAAGUAUUCAUAGAGAUGUGUAUUGCUCAUUGAAGUCCCCACCUAGAUGAUAUUCAUUUAUUUUAUUAAAUAAACAUUUCAUUAGAUCACGCUUUAAUCCUUCAACUGAGGAAUACAUUUGCCAAAUUCCCUUUGUAAGUAUAGUCUACUAAGAAAAAACACUUCAUUAUUUCUUGUAUAUUCCGUGUGGAUUUUAUCUGUGGUUAACCAAGUGUUUAUUAAAGGAAACCAUUUUUUUGUAGUGACUAAACAGCCAUUAGUUCUUAUCUUCUAGUCUGGUUUCCCGUUUUAUUAUCUCCAUUGCAGAAUUUGUGAGCUGCGGGUAGGUGAAUGCAAAACACAGAGGACACUCAUUUAUGGUCCUACACGGUGGGAUAUGAAACAGCAGAUGGGCAAAAUGGCCGACCCAGAUCUGUCGGGGUCUCCAACCCACGCUACCUCUACCUCUGUGCCAGCGUUGGCCAGGCUGAUAGUGCCAAAGAGCUUGGCCUGCUCAUCCCUGUGAGGGUUGUCUCUGUGCCGGGUGGAAAGAGCUUGGCACACUAAUCAGUGGAGAAAUGGUAGCAAAGGCCAGCAGCAGUGGUUAGUACUCUGAAGCAAGUUAGUGCCGUAUCAAACCUGAGAAAAAACACUAAUUUGGUACAGUAGUGGUAGUUUUAUCUAAAUGCUUAUGUGAACAUACCAACAUGUUGAACUAUUUUUCUAAACUCCAGCAUGGGGAUUCCACUGGUUGCAACAACGAAGAAAAAGAAGUUGUAUAGACAUCAAUGAGGAAAUGACCCUACUUCUCACACAUCAAUACACAUUGUAAACAUAACAUGAGUCUCUAGUUUCUCAUUGCAACUCUUCUUCAAUGCAGCACGAUGUUCAUUUAAUCAAUGCAAAAAAGACAAGGGGGUGUGCUUCAGGAGUGGGUACCUCGUGAUUCUCUGGGAAUUGUCUGUGAUUUUGACUUUUUGAGAAUUUGGCUGCACUUAACUCCGACCCCCUGUGUCACUUCUAAAACCCAAGAUGGAUAAAUCAACGUUUCACAGUGACUACAUCCACUGCACUCUAGUGCAUUUGCUGGACGAUGUCACCCAGCUUUCUCUCUCUCUUACGCUUUCUUAUUUAGCAAUCAUCAUUUACUGACCCGGCAGGACUUCUGUAAGUCAUUACCCGAAUAUUAGUAUGCAUGUUUCUGCACCCCCCAUUUCCUGCCCGCUACUCUCACCGGGGAGCAAAUCCGUAGGUCACCUUGUCUGCUUAUGGUUAUAUCCGCAAGGAUGUGUGUGUACAGUAUGCGCAGUAGUUGAGUGUAAGUGUGUGUGGGAGGGUUGACAAGGUUGUGAGAGGCUUGAUUUGAAUUGGUCCUAUUUCUGAAAUUGGAUCAAUGCUAGUUAGCCAUUCACAUCACAGCUCUUUGCAGAGCUGCAAUGAAUGACAUUUGAAAAUCCUGUUGCAAAGUCAUAUUGUUUCUUGGCUGUCAUAAUAAUGAGCAUGUUUGGUAGUUUUUACAGGUCUGUUUUCAUUUUGUCAGAGAUGCAGCAACACUCUUCUUGUUCCCUUCAGCCGCCCUGAACGUUGACUUUAAUGAAAGAAGAAAAAAAAGAUAUAAAAAACAUUUGUGCUCCAUUCCAAUUAUUUUUAAAGCGAGUACAAAAAAGAUGAAUGCUAUUUGAAGUAUUUGAAGUCUUUAGUGUAAUGAUUUAAUUAUUUAUGAGUGCCCGGGCAUAACUUAGAAUGGGAAAAGCUUUCAAGAUAUUAUUGAAAUGAAAUGCAAAUGGUUUUCCCUCUCGGUGCAUGCAACGGCAGAAAAAUAGGUUUCAGUCAGCUUUUUUUUUUUUGUCUCUAUGAUGGGAAGAGAAUCUUCAGGUUUCUGCAGUUCCUCAAUUGUCCAAUAUAUUGUCUCUUCAAUUUCUUUCGCCACCAUCCACAAGCCUGUCAGCUCUUUUGUUCUGCAAUUUUGCUCACCCCCUACUGCUGUGAGGAUGUCUGUCGAUCCUACAUACUGUGUAUACAUAUUCAAGAUUUAACAAAUACCAGACAAAUACAACAAACGGAACGGGUCGGACAGACCCGAACCUCAGCAAAGUGUCACCGCCUGAGAGAUUACAAACAUUUCAAUUGAAAGAGAAGGAGCGACUCCAUUACGUCCUCUUGAUUUCCCGUCGUCUCCAGCAGAGCCUCAUGACAUCGACAGACGAGCUGUUCUCAUGCAUUUCUUUGUUAUCGUUCCUUUUUUCUCGGCGCUGCCAGGGCCUUUUAUUGCAGACGUGAUUGUUAACUUGCCAGUCAGCCCGGACUCUGAUGAUUCCUGGUUUUUCUGCCUGCUUGCGAUCGAACGGGAGGUAAAAUCCUCAGUGUGUUUUCGCUCGAUGGCGUGGAAUUCCGACAGGGACGUGCAUUGCACUGUUUCUGCAGGGCAGAACUGUGGCCUUGUUACUCUCCAUAGCACCCCUUCGUCAGCCUUAACACAGUGUUUGCUUUCAUACAUUAUAUCUCUGAUCCCCCGCAAAGUGACAGCAUGAGUUAAUCAACAAUAUGCAUUGGUUGCCCCCAACAACACAGUAAGUCAACCUCAGCCUUCAAAUCCAUCCAUGAGACGGGUUGGUGAUGGAGUGACGGGGAAGUGAUGAGUGAUAUGUGGAGGUCAUGCACAUUAUGCACAUUACAUUUGACAAAGUGGAGUUUCAACAUUGUCUCCUCCUUGUUUUUGACUAGGAUCCAUUCUCUCGUACACACCUGCAUUUAAUCUAAAAGGCAACAGCCCAGAGUGCUGAAAAGUCAUCUUCAUGCAGCUUAUAGACACAGCAUUACGGCAAUUUGCAAAUCUUUUAUUUAACAGUUUGAAAACUAAAACUAACUAUUAAAUCAAAUUACAAAAGCCUUUGGAGUCAUGGUGGAAGUGCAGAAUAUUAUGCAGAACAGCAUGCUUUAUUGUUUGUGUUUUCAAACAGAACGGCUUGAGUUUGUUUCAAUGUUAUUAUACAGUUUAUGUUUUUAAUAAAUACUUCCAUUAGUAUCAGCUAAAAACUAUUCCAAACUGCUCUUUCACUCGACAUUGUUUAUCUGUAAAAUAUGGAUGUCCUUCUCUUUUUGGGUACAUCCUGAAUAAAAUUGCCUUCAAAAGGUCCUUGAUGGACAGCAUGAAGACAUUUUUAACUCCACAGAGACGUUGAUAUGUUUAAAAUAAAACGUAAGUAAGAUCUUCACAAACUUAUCACUGUGUCAACUCUUAGGCUUCAUUAUGUUUCUCACUGGACUGCGUCAGCAUCCAAGACAAAUUAGACACAGGAAUCUACUAGGAGCACUUGAUUAUAAGGAGGAGGGAAAGGUCAGGUCAUUCAUCACCCACCACACCUGGUCAUUAGAGCAACACCAAUGGAAACUGUGACAAAUGAACCCUUCUCACAUUAAUGGACUUGGCAUUCUGGUAUUGUGAACGCACACUGCAGUGCGACUCGACAACAAGCUUCAUUCAUUCUGGAACACUCGUGACUUCUUCCGCCAAGACCAAUUGCAAUUAACAAGCACCUACUUAGAAAAGGGGAUAUGUAAUAGAUGGUGACGUGGGAGGAAAUGGAUGAAUGGAAGAACGAGCGUCGUAUUGCUAUGCAACAAUUUGAAAGAGACUUUGUGGGAGGAGGGAAUGGGCAGAAUUCGUACUCUGUUACACGUACCUCUGUGCUCUCAUCCGCUGUGGUUAUGGUUUUUUUUUUAUACUCUAUUGCAUGCGUGUUGUGUGUACUUUUUGAUUUGUCCCGCUUUUUUUAUUACAGAAUCGCGGGUCCUAUUUCCCAGAGAUGUGUUCUGAAAUUAACUGUAAUUUUGACAACAAAUCAAGCUUUUCAAACAGCAGGAAGUGUGAACAAUAGAUGGAGCAAAGCGGUCCCCCCCUGGGGAACCUUGCACUUUCCUGAACUCUCCCACUGUGUUUUCUCGUUGACGGCGCUCUUUGCUCUCCGGCUGAGCCACAAACGCGAGAGCGAGCCCCCAGUGGCAGUAAUUACUGCACCACUCAAGUGACGUGACAAAUGAACAAAUGUCACAAUACCACGGCUUGCUCGCUCCUUCUUUGCUCCAGCAGUCUUGCAUACACACCCAUUAGCUCCCUGAAGUCCUCUGUCUUGCUCCCCCCCCCACACACACACACACACGCACACAAAUAAUGAAAGUUUUACUGCAGGAAGGCGAUUGAACAGCGCAGGGGGAAGGCCGUGACAGGUGUACACACCCCUUUUGUGGGAUAGAGAGAAAGGAAGUGGAGGAUGGGAGACUGUUGGAUAGCCUGUCAGGGAGCGGGCUGCCAUGUCCGUAGCAGCGGGGUCCUAUGCCGAACGCUAAUCACAUUGAUAAAUGGUGUUGGCCGCGCGUCCCGCUACCAGCGAUGUAAGGCCUCGCCGACCCUAACUAUCACGGUACACGAAGGACAAAGCACACGGGGUGCAGAGAAAUACCGGGGGAGGAAGGAAGAAGAUCUGCCUCGGAGAAAAUAAAAGAAAGAUUCGAUGCUUUUUGACACCACCGGUCUGCAUUAUCACCAUUUCAUGGCACCCACAAAGUGAAUUGAAUUUGCACCUCCACUCUGCACUGAAUCCUCUUUACUGCUGGCAGGGCCCCUUUCAUUAUAGGCUUUUCCUUAGCAGAACAUAUGCCUCAUUGAAACAGACGCACACACACACACAGAGGAUGGAUCACAUUUGCACAGCUUCAUUUCCACUGUGGCUAACACUGUCAAAUGCAACAUAAUGCAUGUUUAGCAGUUGUGUGUGUGUGUGUGUGUUCUAGAAACAUGUGGAGGGUUAAGAAUGGGGAGUGGGGGGGGGGGGGGGGCGUUGUACAGCUCUUUGCCUUUAAGGCCUGAAACCCAAAAGAUGUUUGAUAUUUGAUUUUGGCGUAAACGAUUUACAUGUGCAUGGUUGAGGCCGAUUGAGGGAAGAUAAGAAGCACAAUAUUCAUGCAGCAUAUAUGUGUGUGUGUGUGUGUGUUUGCACCUUUCUGCAUGUCCGGGAGAGGAGAAAGAGAAGGCUGGUUGUGAUUGAUUCUCCCUUCGUUUCCCAUUGUGCGCAUCAUCUAAGGGAGACACGGUGAUCUUGAAUACAAUUAGGAAAACUCUGCCCUGACAUUUCUGUAAUCAAACAGUCCACGGGGGGAGAAAUGAGAACGUCGGGCCGAGCUGCUGCAUCUGCACUUUCAUCUAUUGCUCUUUCCCACCCCGUCAGUUUUCUGUCGAUGUGAGGGAUGUGUUUACAAAAUUGGGUCGAUGACAGGUCUGACUUAUCAGGCCUGAGUCAUUUAGUAUCUUAUCUGGGCAUUACAUAUAGAAAAUGCUUGGUCUUAAAUCAAAUAUCGACGAGCAAUGCUUGCAAUAUUGUUUUGUUCAUUUUUACAUGAGCAAAACUUUAAGGUAAUGUUUUCCAAUGUAUCAAAAAUGUUUGCAUAAGCAUUAUCAGUACUGUAAAACUCUGUCAAACUGUCAGAGUAAGCGUCGAUGCAACUUGUAAACCAGGCUCAAAGAAAUCCUGCUCCGUCUCAGCUUAGUCGAAGUGAAAUAUGGACUGACUCUUUUUUUUUAGGCGACGGUAAGCAAGGUCUUUCACACCCGAAUGCCUGAGUGGUAAACUAAAGGGAAAAAAUUUAGAUAUAUCUACAAAACACCCCUUUUCCAGCCAGCAAAAGUUUUAAAGGGACUUAUGAUGAGGAUGCUGUGGAUGUUCUUUGUCUUUAAAAUGUCAAAUGUAAGAUAAACUCACAUCACAAACAAAACAAUACAGCAACAAGCGAUGUAGCAAAACAAGCUAAAUCCAAGAACAUUUGGUAGGAGGAGGGUUGAUCGCUUUCUUGAGGUUUGAGGGGUUACAUUUGAGUUGAAUUUAGAUCAAGCAACCUUAGCUGUCGUAUAUACAUCAGAAGAAGACUCACAAUCUCAGCUUCAAGCAACAAACAAUUACAAAUGAAAAGUACUCUUGAAUACUAUCAAUAGAAAAUGUAUUUGACAGCAAAGCCGUUGGUGUAAAAGGUGUCUGUUUGGAUAAUAUAAUAGAUAGAUAUUAGAUAAAAUAGCAUGCAUAUUGGUUGCACUAAAGCCCAAACAACCUUCUGGAGGAUGUAGAUAGCAGGUGAGUGAAGUUAGUAUUCACAAAAACAAGUACACUCUAUGCUAUACCAAUUACCGUGUCUCCACAAUGGGAACCAAUAAGCGAGAUAAUUAAUGCUCAAGUUCUGUUAUUCAGCCAUUGAUCAAUGGGCAACAAUACAAUCUGUAAGCAAUUACUCAUUCCAAAUGAGUUACUACUAAUUACAUUAGUUUACUAAUGACUCAGCAGCGAAAUAACAGCUUAAAUUACUUGUAACUUUACUUUCAUUACGCAGCUUUCGGCUUCUUAAAGGUGCAGAUAAAAAUCGUCUUAAAACCCACCCACAUGAAUCUUUUUUUUUCAGACCUAUGCAGAAAUAGAAAAUAAUACCUGGAGUUUUAAAAAAGUUUCAAGAAGGCCUAAAACUCCCAUCUAGUCAUCUAUAUUGUGACUGGACAAAGCUCUCCACAAGUACCGAACUCCACUACACACUCUCCAGCUCUAAAGUAUUACUACGGUUUAAAAAUGACAAUACCAGCACCAAUAUCAGGGUUAGGGUUAGAAGGGGUCACUAAAAGCCUUGGAAACGUCAUGGAUAGAAGUCUGCUUAAAAAUGACCCAAUACAUGAGAUACUUCAAAAUCAGCCCCAGCAUGGUGUGAUGUGAUUUGAUGUGAGUCUUUUCUAACCAACCUUCAAUUGGUUAGUACUAAGGAUUGACGAGGAGCCAGCUGGGCCACUUUGGUAAAGGGUAGGAAACUUAAAACAACAACAAUUAAUGGAUUUAGUUAAUACUACAAAUCGUUACAACUUAAUCAUGCACAAUAAAUCCCAACAUAUUGAUGGCUUGGGAGCAGUAUUCUCUUGAUUACUGGUGGUUUCAAAAGGUUGACAGAUGUUUUCAGUCUGAUUAUUUGUGCUUGUUCUGUGCACGGAUGGACUGUGUAAGUGAGGGCAGACUGUGCGAAGUGUACACAGUUAGCUGCUCACAUUAAUAGUUAAACAUACAAAAGGAAUUAUGCACAGAAUCGUGUUGGCAGCGUUAUGCAUAUUAAUGUGGGUUUACAUUGUGGUGGUUUAUGCUCCAACUAUGUAUUUUCUAAGACACCAGGCUCUAUUGUUAACAGAGCGAAUGCAUUUUAGCUGCUGUGCUCUAAAAGGCAAAAGGUCAUCUCCGAAUGUAGAACAAUUAAGGUCACACAGAUUAAACAUUUUCAAACAGCAUAAAAGAAGAUGAAAAGCAUCAAUUUCAAUUGUACUUUACAGAUCGUAUUGCUAAUUUAAUGCAAUAUAUUGUAAUGUUCUCUGCUCUGUUUUAUAUUUAUUAGCAAGCCAUCAGGUAGACAUGUGUUCUGCUCAGUGUACCCACGCUCUCAGCGUUUGGCUCGUCAUCUUCUUCUCAUCUGCUUUUUUUUCUCAGCCAACAAGACAAGUUGAGCAUGGGGGAGCCUGUUGCCAGGCAACAGGCCAGAGUGUAUGAUUAAAACUUUGAUUUCCAAUCUAUCACCUGAGAGACUGAUGUGUUUUUUUUUUCUCCACGGAUGCUCUGCAGAGCAGCCGGGAUGAGCACAGCAGCUCCAUACAUGCCAAAUGGAUCUUUACUGUGAAAUGAAACAUUUGGCUCCUAUGAAGCUGGGCUUCCUCAUCCUCGCACAACUUGACAUGGAGCUACACGUCCAGAAUGUCAAACUCGUGCUCACGAAAACCGGGUUUGUUUGUGGACUUUGGAUGAAGGUUUCCUCCCCCUCACUCCUUGUCCCGCCGCUUUGUACCUGAUACUAGACUCCAGACAAAAGCAGCUCUUGUUCGGGUACCACACGGAUAAACGGAUGAACAAAAACAUCGUACACGUCCGCUUUGUUGAACGAAAAUGCCCCCACUGAUUGAGGUGUUACAACUUGGUUUGGUCAUUAUGACGGAUUCUAAUCCGUCUGAGAUGCUCUUAUGUUCUGGGUGAUUUUUUGGGGAGAGGAACGGUAAGCGGAGGAACUGUAGCAUAGGUGUGUAUGUGUGUGUGUGUGUGUGUGUGUGUGUGUGUGUGUGUGUGUGGGUGAGAGAGCCUCUUCUGGGUGUCAAGGCACAGUUUGGCCUCUGGCCAUUCAGUAAUACAUGAAUGACAUAUUUACCCCUGGCAAGGCAUAACUAAAAAAUGGCAUGUGUGUGUGUGUGUGUGUGUGUGUGUGUGUGUGUUUUUGUAUGUGUGUAAAAAAAAAAAAAAAAACAUGCUCAUGUUCAAUGUGUGUAUGCUAGCAGUCAGGGGAUUCAUCUAAACGCUCCCCUCUGGCAUCCAGAGCAUCCCAGCCAGGUAGGGAAUCAAAUCUAGGGGGGGCCAAAGAUAAGAUAAGAUAAGAUGGCGGCAGAGAGAGAGUCAGCGAUGCGACGAAAGUGAGAUGAGAUGAGAGGAGGAAAAAGUGGGGUUGUGAAAUGUGAGAGACAUGUUGUGGCUUCAGGAGACGAGAUGCAAUAAUAUACCGACCGGAGAUUGGAAUUGAGAAAGACACAUUAAGGGACUUGACAGUGGCCCCCAGAUUCGAUUGGGGAGAUUGGAAAGGAGAAGAGGAGGUGAGGAGAUGUGCAGAGGUUUGACAUAAACAAGCAUGUCAGUAUGACAGACGGCAGAACCACAGCGGACAGAGAAUUCAUCGAUUCACACUAUGUUGUUUGUGAUCAACAGAUGGCCGUUCGAAAGCCACAAAAGGCAGAGGGAAGUUAAAGGUAACAGAGUAUUUUGAGCAAUUUCGAGACAGGUAAAAAAAAGACAUUGAAAGACAUCGACAACGGCUGCCAAUCAGACCAAAGCCAGUUACAGAACUGUCUGCGAAAAGGUAAAAAUCAUCAACCGGAUCUACCAUUGUUUUUAUGACGUGGUUUAAAGAUUUGUUCCAAUAACCUUUUUGCGAAUUAAAAAAAAGGUUAAAAAAUAGAGCUAACUAAGAACACUGAUUUGGUAAUUUGGUGCAUUUUUGGAGUAGAGUGCACCUGUACAUGGUAUGAAAGAUAGUUGACCGACUCAUUUCAAGCAAAAAACGUUAUUUAUAUGUUUUUUGUGGCAUCAUCAAUGCAACAAUAUACAGACACAUUUGAACAGGACCCUCACUCCAUUGGCCUCGGUGCAACUGCCUCGCCUCAAGUGUCUGUGUUUUACAACCUUGGUGUCAUUGGCUUUGGCUCCAUUGUUUCAGCCUCACCUGAAGCCCUUUGGCUUGUUGCACUGCAUUCCUGUCCUGCGGUUUUUGGAUUUCUCAGUAAUCUCUUCUGUUUAAGGCUGAUAUCCGCUUGGAUGAUCCGGAGGAGCUCUCCCACACGGCGCAUCCUGGACUUCACUUAGCACCUCUCAGCGUGUUGCAUCUGUCAUCUGUGGAGGAAGAGUCACACAGAGCCGUUGCAGAAGGACCUUGGACGUAUCCGCAGGUCCUGCUCAGCGAGGCUGUUCAAGAGAGCAGAACAGGGAAACCCUGAAAGUGUGAUAGAAGCAAAUUAAUGGCUGCAAUCGUUUUUUUUUUAUUAAGUGUUUGGACUGCCACCAUCUAUCUGUGCUCCGUUCUCACAAUUACACUGUGCAUGCACCAACAAUAACAAGUAGCAUACCGACGCAUUUGGGAAAAAAAGCACUUAUGUGGUGACGAUUUCACUUGUGUCACAGGUCUUUUACUCCUCCUUCAUCAACGAAUUCAAAGAUGUCUUCUGUUUGUGUAACACAAGGUAUAAAAAGAAGGCUAAGAGUCCCCCCGAAAUGUCCCUUAAGGCUUUGUGUUCAUUGUUUGGAGACAUGGCGUGUUGUUACUAUGGAAACCAAGCAGCCUGUCUCACAAAACAGUGUAACUUUGUUGAAUAAAAACUUCCAAAUCAUAGUCUGAAGUAAAAUAAAACGGGAUAAUCCGCAUGGCUCAGUAACACUGACUUGCACCGCAGACAAUCCCCAAGGGCCAAACCGAGAUUUUGUUUAUAGAUUGUAAAGAAAAAGCUGAGAAAUGAUUAGAUGGAUGAAAAGUGCAUUGCCGAGCAUCUGACCUUUAUUUGCAGUCAACCUGCCUGUUCCUGCCAAGAAUGAUUUACCUUGUUAAUAAUACCGCAUCCAGCUAUCCCGCUCUGUAACAAUGUGGUGGAUCAGAAACGUAUAUAUUUUGUCACAUAAUAGCGUAAUAUUUAAUUAGCUUACUUUCUGUAUCAGUUUUCUUUGGUAAAAAGCUAUUUUACCCACAUGCUCAGCUUUAUCAGCUUUACUUUGCAAUCCUCUCUUUUCACUCAAUUUUGAUAGAUCAUAUAAACUAUUUUUGUGGCUGGUUGUAAAGUGAGCAACCACGUCAUUUUCCCAUUGGGAAAUUACUUUCAAACAGGCAGCUGAUUGGAAUGAUGCUUUCAGUUUUUUUACGUGAGUUGCUGCUGCAUCCCCAAAACUUUCUUCCUCAAGUCUGUGUGUUGUUUGAAGGAUAAUAAGCUGCAGUCAUUGGCCAACAUCUUUAAUUAAAAUAUAGCACACGGGUGUCCCGACUAUAUACAAUACAAUAAAAACCUUGGAAAGCAAAGCUGGAGUCUCAUCAGCUUUAAGUGCUUCUUGGUGCUGUUAAUAUUAUGGACUGAAAAGACUGAUGAUUUGCAAUAAUUUCACGAGGAGAAUAAAAUACUAUAUGGAUUAAUUUAAUGCCACUACAAUUAACCUCAGUUUUAUAAGUGCCAUUCGUAUUAUUUCUUGACUAUACAUAAUAAUAAUGAUGAUUUAUAUUCCUUGAGGCUAUUUUGAGUUUUAACUAAAAAGAAUUGCACACGUGGCAAGUAACAACAUAUACAACAGAUAGUCAUCAUGUCGGCUACAACAAACAGACAAUAAGCCAGAUGCACACAGAUGCAUCGUUUUUGUUUUUUUUACCAACCUGUCUCCCAGGAUCUCAGGGGUUUGCUUUUGGUCAAUCAAAUCCACACAUGGUGAGGCCUUCGCUCAGCAGUGAUGGCGUAGAAGUCACUCGGUGAGCAGUGGAGCCACGGAUUGUGGGAAAAUGUAAGUCCCUUCCCUUUUUGCAGACCUACAAAAGUGGCCAGAAACCUAAUGAUGAAAUGUGGCUUUAGUUUAAAGCGUCAAUGGGAAGGAGUGAGUUGGUCUGCUGCCGCUGCUGCUGCUUCAUCCACUGUGGGGCCGACUGGUGGCCGAGUGUGAUUGAAGCGAAAUGACUGAUAGUUUGAUUUUACAAAUACCCGAGGAGCUCAACAAAGCACCGUAUCCAGCAGGCGUCACCCGCUCUGGGAUUGGUGUUGUGUGUUCAUUCGACCAGUCCCCACAAAAACAGCUGGCUUGGAGCUUUUUCAUUACACCCAGUGAAGUUGAUUGCAUUUCCUCCAGUACUUUGUGAAGUUUCUAAAUGGAGCCACUAUCCAGGCUUGCCAUUUAGUCACAGCCAUCAGCGGGCGCUGAGACCAGCCUGUGUGGAGAAGCCAAGAAAAUGAAGCCAUCGUCAGGGGAUCAACUUGGGACAAAUGUUUUAACUUUAAAUAUCUCUCUGCCCGAGUGUCAUGAAAUCAGAACAGGGACAUGAUGUAGACUGAACACAAUAAACUUCUAUAUCCUGCUGCCAAAAACAGCAGAGAGAUAGAGACACGUAAUCACAGUUUUUGGGCAACUGAGAAAUCAAACGUCUGGCUCUAGUGAGAGGAGUGUGAACACAUCGCUCUUAAAGUAACGAUACAUCAUGGGAAAUCAGCCGAUCGAAUGCAUUAUGCAUCAAAGUGCAUUCUAAGAGAGUGAAAAAGAGAAUGGAAAGGUCAAUUGUUGUUGCAUAGUUGGGUUUACUGUUGAAUAUAAAGCUGAAUUCUGACCAUGGAUGACAAUCUACUUCCACUUCGGGCCUGAAGCCAAAAGAUUGUGAAUAAAUAUUAAGACAGAGAACAUGGGAUCUCACUCUGUAUCACUUCACAUCGAACAUCGAAGUCUUGCAUGCAAAGGUAGUGUUCACUUUAGAUACGUAUGAGCAAACUGUGUAUACCACUGAAAAAAAUAAAGAAAAAUGUAUAAUGGACAUGGAGAAUAAUUUGAAGAUAUAUUUCAUAUUGAUGUGUUGUCAAUACUCUAUAUUUAUAUAUGUUUAUAAUUAUUUAAUAAAAACAAAUCAGCAUUGUGAGCCUGAGAGCAAUGCGAUUGGGGCAAAGUGUCAAUGAUUAUCUCAGCAAUUAUGUGGAGAAUCUUAAAAAUUGGCACAAGACUUGUUGAAGACAGAAUAACUAGGGCCAACGAGAUGAGUUAGACAAUAGCUUUUGGAAUGCAAUAGGCAAAAAAAAAAAGAAUUGUACAUGCAUGCUAAUUAAUUUUGCCACCUUUGCAUUGCUCCCUGCCACUUGUCUUUCACGUGAACUGAAAUAAGCCUUAGCUACAGGGAGUGUGGCAAAAUACCUUGAAUAGAAUUAGCGAUGUUUUAAAUAUCCCCUAAUCUCCAUAAAUAAGUAGAUGUUUUAUGGAUGACUUAUUCAUAAUUCAUCUUCCUUCCAACUCCAAGCGGGGCGGGAGUACAAGUGCUAAGCAAUUCUCAUUAAGAAUUAACAAUGGGCUCAACUGAUGGUAUUAUUGACCCCACACAAAGCUGAUUACUUCCCACUAAGUUGUGUAUUGUGUUUAAAACGUGAGAACUGAAGAAUUGAGCAGACAUUGUAUUGUAACACGUAUAUCAAAUUUUGAGAGACAAACAAAAGCAGCUGCCAUCCAAUUUAUGGAUACUCCAGGUGCAAGGUAGUGCACAUUAACAUGAUGCUCUGAGUUUGGAAUUGUGGGUGCAAAAUAUUGUUUUCACUUUUCAUGACACAAUCAUACAGCAGGCUUGAGAAAUGCUGAACGGAAACGAGGACUUACAGUUUAAAAUACUGCAUUUGUUGCUGCUCAAUAUUAUGAGAAUACGCUAAAAAUAGCCAGAAAUACCAACUAGAAAUUGUAUGCCUCCAAAUUUUGCAGAUUGCAUCUUUGUCUAUUCAAAAUGUCAUCACAUUUUAUUCUAUAUAUGACAUGAGUGAUGAAGGUAAGCCUACACUUGGAAU
Gasterosteus aculeatus aculeatus (three-spined stickleback) is the source of this 38010-nucleotide long non-coding RNA. NCBI's taxonomy places the organism in Eukaryota, Metazoa, Chordata, Actinopteri, Perciformes, Gasterosteidae. The record is from Ensembl.